This 131-nucleotide ribosomal RNA is filed under the name Danio rerio (zebrafish). Lineage: Eukaryota; Metazoa; Chordata; Actinopteri; Cypriniformes; Danionidae. The record is from RNAcentral.
ACAUACUGUGAAAAUGUCCUUGCUCUGUUAAACAUCAACUCUCACAAGGUUACUCACUAAAGCUAAACAGGGCUGUGCCCAGCCAGUACCUGGAUGGGCGACCGCAUGGGAAAGCUAGGUUGCUGCUGGAA